GACGAACGCUGGCGGCGUGCUUAACACAUGCAAGUCGAACGGAAAGGCCCUGCUAUUGUGGGGUGCUCGAGUGGCGAACGGGUGAGUAACACGUGAGUAACCUGCCCUUGACUUUGGGAUAAAUUCAGGAAACUGGGGCUAAUACCGGAUAGGAGCUCCUGCUGCAUGGGGGGGGAUGGAAAGUUUCGGCGGUUGGGGAUGGAAUCGCGGCUUAUCAGCUUGUUGGUGGGGUAGUGGCUUACCAAGGCUUUGACGGGUAGCCGGCCUGAGAGGGUGACCGGCCACAUUGGGCCUGAGGUACGGCCCAGACUGCUACGGGAGGCAGCAGUGGGGAAUAUUGCGCAAUGGGCGGAAGCCUGAUGCAGCAACGCCGGGUGCGGGAUGACGGCUUUCGGGUUGUAAACCGCUUUCGCCUGUGACGAAGCGUGAGUGACGGUAAUGGGUAAAGAAGCACCGGCUAACUACGUG
This 468-nucleotide ribosomal RNA is filed under the name uncultured bacterium. RNAcentral's name for it is "partial 16S ribosomal RNA". It matches the Rfam family "Bacterial small subunit ribosomal RNA", at positions 28 to 507 of the family's 1533-position model. The record is from RNAcentral.